GAUGAAGAACGUAGUGAAAUGCGAUAAGCAAUGUGAAUUGCAGAAUUCAGUGAAUCAUCGAAUCUUUGAACGCACCUUGCGCCCUUUGGCCAUUCCGAAGGGCAUGCCUGUUUGAGUAUCAUGAACACCUCAACUCUCAUGGCUUGCCAUGAUGAGCUUGGACUUUGGGGGUCUUGCUGGCCUGUGGUCGGCUCCUCUCAAAUGAAUCAGCUUGCCAGUGUUUGGUGGCAUCACAAGUGUGAUAACUAUCUGCGCUCGCGGUUUCCAUCAGAUAACCUCCAGUGAUGGAGGUUCGCUGGAGCUCAUAAAUGUCUCUCCUAAGCGAGGACAGCUCUUUUAAUGUUUGAUCUCAAAUCAGGUAGGACUACCCGCUGAACUUAAGCAUAUCAAUAAGCGGAGGA
RNAcentral lists this unclassified non-coding RNA (401 nucleotides) under soil metagenome. RNAcentral's name for it is "partial contains 5.8S ribosomal RNA, internal transcribed spacer 2, and large subunit ribosomal RNA". The stretch from base 1 to 121 matches the Rfam family "5.8S ribosomal RNA", at positions 35 to 154 of the family's 154-position model. The record is from RNAcentral.